RNAcentral lists this non-coding RNA (110 nucleotides) under uncultured Acetatifactor sp. Lineage: Bacteria; Bacillati; Bacillota; Clostridia; Lachnospirales; Lachnospiraceae. The record is from RNAcentral.
UUCCGCUAGGGGAGCGCAUCGCUGAGAUUGAAGUGCUGUAAAACUAUGCCAUCACUUCUAACCCUCACUACUUGAACCGGAUAAUACCGGCGUAAGGAAGCAUAGAUUUC